Pseudonaja textilis is the source of this 646-nucleotide non-coding RNA. The record is from RefSeq and is a predicted model, not a curated record. Lineage: Eukaryota; Metazoa; Chordata; Lepidosauria; Squamata; Elapidae.
CCAUUUGCCAAAGGUGAAUGUUUUGCUGGAUUUGUCCUUUAUAAGGUAUAAAUGAAACAAUAAGCUAUUUUAUCUAAUAGUUUCCCCAGUGCAAAGUCCUGCUAAACUGAAAGGGAUUGAAAAGGAUUUAUCCAUUCAAGCAAUCCAUUGUCAGAAUGUUUCAGUAAGCAAGGCAUUAUCAUCCUCAGAUACUGAGUUACUGGUGUUGAAUGGCACAGAUCCUGUGGCUGAAAUAGCCAUUCAACAGCUCAGUGAAUCUGCAAAGCAAAAGCUCAAAUCUCCCAGAAAAAAAAGCACCAUCAUAAUAUCAGGGAUUUCAAAGACUAAUUUAUCUCAGGACAGCAAAAGUGCACUCAUGAUGGACUACGCAGCAGCCAUGGAUGGCUCCUGUAAACAAGAUGAUACUUUUAGUUUUGAAGGGUGUCUUGCACAAUCCCCUUCAGAUGAAAAAGUAUCGCUAGCUGCCUCCCAAAUGACAUCUGCCCUUGAAGAACCCCAGGAACACAGCCAUGGUGCCUGGACCUUAGACAGUCACCAUCAAUGGAGCAACAAUGCACUACUAGACCAAGACUGUGAUAAGAUAUCAGGGAGCUCUGUAAGCAUCUCAGAAUCUGAAAUUGGGAAGAAAUCCAAAGGUAUGAAUCUU